This 465-nucleotide ribosomal RNA is filed under the name Vreelandella stevensii. RNAcentral describes it as "partial 16S ribosomal RNA". It matches the Rfam family "Bacterial small subunit ribosomal RNA", at positions 338 to 795 of the family's 1533-position model. The record is from RNAcentral. Lineage: Bacteria; Pseudomonadati; Pseudomonadota; Gammaproteobacteria; Oceanospirillales; Halomonadaceae.
CCUACGGGGGGCAGCAGUGGGGAAUAUUGGACAAUGGGGGCAACCCUGAUCCAGCCAUGCCGCGUGUGUGAAGAAGGCCCUCGGGUUGUAAAGCACUUUCAGUGAGGAAGAACGCCUGGUGGUUAAUACCCAUCAGGAAAGACAUCACUCACAGAAGAAGCACCGGCUAACUCCGUGCCAGCAGCCGCAGUAAUACGGAGGGUGCGAGCGUUAAUCGGAAUUACUGGGCGUAAAGCGCGCGUAGGUGGCUUGAUAAGCCGGUUGUGAAAGCCCCGGGCUCAACCUGGGAACGGCAUCCGGAACUGUCAAGCUAGAGUGCAGGAGAGGAAGGUAGAAUUCCCGGUGUAGCGGUGAAAUGCGUAGAGAUCGGGAGGAAUACCAGUGGCGAAGGCGGCCUUCUGGACUGACACUGACACUGAGGUGCGAAAGCGUGGGUAGCAAACAGGAUUAGAUACCCUUGUAGUC